AGAGUUUGAUCCUGGCUCAGGAUGAACGCUAGCUACAGGCUUAACACAUGCAAGUCGAGGGGAAACGACAGUAAAGCUUGCUUUAUUGGGCGUCGACCGGCGCACGGGUGCGUAACGCGUAUCCAACCUGCCCCCAACUCCGGAAUAGUCCCCCGAAAGGGGGGUUAACGCCGGAUGCUGCAGCUGCUCCGCAUGGUGAAGUUGCGAAAUGGAUAAGGUUGGGGCUGGGGAUGCGUCCCAUUAGGUAGUAGGCGGGGUAACGGCCCACCUAGCCGACGAUGGAUAGGGGUUCUGAGAGGAAGGUCCCCCACAUUGGAACUGAGACACGGUCCAAACUCCUACGGGAGGCAGCAGUGAGGAAUAUUGGUCAAUGGGCGCAGGCCUGAACCAGCCAAGUAGCGUGAAGGAUGACUGCCCUAUGGGUUGUAAACUUCUUUUAUAUGGGAAUAAAGUUUUCCACGUGUAGAAUUUUGUAUGUACCAUAUGAAUAAGGAUCGGCUAACUCCGUGCCAGCAGCCGCGGUAAUACGGAGGAUCCGAGCGUUAUCCGGAUUUAUUGGGUUUAAAGGGAGCGUAGGUGGACAGUUAAGUCAGUUGUGAAAGUGUGCGGCUCAACCGUAAAAUUGCAGUUGAUACUGGCUGUCUUGAGUACAGUAGAGGUGGGCGGAAUUCGUGGUGUAGCGGUGAAAUGCUUAGAUAUCACGAAGAACUCCGAUUGCGAAGGCAGCUCACUGGACUGCAACUGACACUGAUGCUCGAAAGUGUGGGUAUCAAACAGGAUUAGAUACCCUGGUAGUCCACACAGUAAACGAUGAAUACUCGCUGUUUGCGAUAUACAGUAAGCGGCCAAGCGAAAGCAUUAAGUAUUCCACCUGGGGAGUACGCCGGCAACGGUGAAACUCAAAGGAAUUGACGGGGGCCCGCACAAGCGGAGGAACAUGUGGUUUAAUUCGAUGAUACGCGAGGAACCUUACCCGGGCUUAAAUUGCAUUUGAAUAAUCUGGAAACAGGUUAGCCGCAAGGCAAAUGUGAAGGUGCUGCAUGGUUGUCGUCAGCUCGUGCCGUGAGGUGUCGGCUUAAGUGCCAUAACGAGCGCAACCCUUAUCUUUAGUUACUAACAGGUCAUGCUGAGGACUCUAGAGAGACUGCCGUCGUAAGAUGUGAGGAAGGUGGGGAUGACGUCAAAUCAGCACGGCCCUUACGUCCGGGGCUACACACGUGUUACAAUGGGGGGUACAGAAGGCAGCUACCUGGUGACAGGAUGCUAAUCCCAAAAGCCUCUCUCAGUUCGGAUCGAAGUCUGCAACCCGACUUCGUGAAGCUGGAUUCGCUAGUAAUCGCGCAUCAGCCAUGGCGCGGUGAAUACGUUCCCGGGCCUUGCACACACCGCCCGUCA
Molecule: ribosomal RNA, 1395 nt
Filed under: uncultured bacterium
Lineage: Bacteria
Description: 16S ribosomal RNA
Rfam family: Bacterial small subunit ribosomal RNA
Source: RNAcentral